GAAAUGCGAUAAGUAAUGUGAAUUGCAGAAUUCAGUGAAUCAUCGAAUCUUUGAACGCACAUUGCGCCCGCCAGAAUUCUGGCGGGCAUGCCUGUUCGAGCGUCAUUUCAACCCUCGAGCUCCCCUUUCGGGGGGGGCCCGGCGUUGGGGACCCGGCGCUAACAACGCCGGCCCCGAAAUGGAGUGGCGGCCCGUCCGCGGCGACCUCUGCGUAGUAACAACCACUCGCACCGGGACCCGGGCGCGGCCACGCCGUAAAACACCCCACCUUCCGAAUGUUGACCUCGAAUCAGGUAGGAAUACCCGCUGAACUUAAGC
This 318-nucleotide unclassified non-coding RNA is filed under the name plant metagenome. RNAcentral describes it as "partial contains 5.8S ribosomal RNA, internal transcribed spacer 2, and large subunit ribosomal RNA". The stretch from base 1 to 105 matches the Rfam family "5.8S ribosomal RNA", at positions 50 to 154 of the family's 154-position model. The record is from RNAcentral.